CCUACGGGGGGCAGCAGUGGGGAAUAUUGGACAAUGGGGGGAACCCUGAUCCAGCCAUGCCGCGUGUGUGAAGAAGGCCCUCGGGUUGUAAAGCACUUUCAGUGAGGAAGAACGCCUGGUGGUUAAUACCCAUCAGGAAAGACAUCACUCACAGAAGAAGCACCGGCUAACUCAGUGCCAGCAGCCGCGGUAAUACGGAGGGUGCGAGCGUUAAUCGGAAUUACUGGGCGUAAAGCGCGCGUAGGUGGCUUGAUAAGCCGGUUGUGAAAGCCCCGGGCUCAACCUGGGAACGGCAUCCGGAACUGUCAAGCUAGAGUGCAGGAGAGGAAGGUAGAAUUCCCGGUGUAGCGGUGAAAUGCGUAGAGAUCGGGAGGAAUACCAGUGGCGAAGGCGGCCUUCUGGACUGACACUGACACUGAGGUGCGAAAGCGUGGGUAGCAAACAGGAUUAGAUACCCUAGUAGUC
This 465-nucleotide ribosomal RNA is filed under the name Vreelandella stevensii. Its description in RNAcentral is "partial 16S ribosomal RNA". It matches the Rfam family "Bacterial small subunit ribosomal RNA", at positions 338 to 795 of the family's 1533-position model. Lineage: Bacteria; Pseudomonadati; Pseudomonadota; Gammaproteobacteria; Oceanospirillales; Halomonadaceae. The record is from RNAcentral.